GACGAACGCUGGCGGCGUGCUUAACACAUGCAAGUCGAACGGAAAGGCCCCUUUGGGGGUACUCGCGUGGCGAACGGGUGAGUAACACGUGCGUAACCUGCCCUUGACUUCGGGAUAACUUCAGGAAACUGGGGCUAAUACCGGCUAGGAAUCCUUGCUGCAUGCUGGGGGUUGGAAAGCUUCGGCGGGUUUGGAUGGACUCGCGGCUUAUCAGCUUGUUGGUGGGGUAGUGGCUUACCAAGGCUUUGACGGGUAGCCGGCCUGGGAGGGCGACCGGCCAAAUUGGGACCUAGGGACGGCCCCGACUCCCAAGGGGGGGAGCAGGGGGGAAGAUUGCAAAAAGGGCGGAAGCCCGGUGCAGGAACGCCGCGGGGCGGAAGACGGGCUUCGGGUUGGAAACCGCUUUCAGCAGGGGCGAAGCUUGGGGUGACGGUACCUGCAGAAGAAGCACCGGCUAACUACGUG
This 465-nucleotide ribosomal RNA is filed under the name uncultured bacterium. RNAcentral's name for it is "partial 16S ribosomal RNA". It matches the Rfam family "Bacterial small subunit ribosomal RNA", at positions 28 to 507 of the family's 1533-position model. The record is from RNAcentral.